UGGGGAAUAUUGGACAGUGGGCGAAAGCCUGAUCCAGCCAUGCCGCGUGUGUGAAGAAGGUCUUCGGAUUGUAAAGCACUUUAAGUUGGGAGGAAGGGCAUUAACCUAAUACGUUAGUGUUUUGACGUUACCGACAGAAUAAGCACCGGCUAACUCUGUGCCAGCAGCCGCGGUAAUACAGAGGGUGCAAGCGUUAAUCGGAAUUACUGGGCGUAAAGCGCGCGUAGGUGGUUUGUUAAGUUGGAUGUGAAAUCCCCGGGCUCAACCUGGGAACUGCAUUCAAAACUGACUGACUAGAGUAUGGUAGAGGGUGGUGGAAUUUCCUGUGUAGCGGUGAAAUGCGUAGAUAUAGGAAGGAACACCAGUGGCGAAGGCGACCACCUGGACUAAUACUGACACUGAGGUGCGAAAGCGUGGGGAGCAAACA
Molecule: ribosomal RNA, 427 nt
Filed under: uncultured bacterium
Lineage: Bacteria
Description: partial 16S ribosomal RNA
Rfam family: Bacterial small subunit ribosomal RNA
Source: RNAcentral